CACCCAUGACAAUGGGCAAAGAGACACCUUGUUGAUGGUAGUGUUUUUAUAUCAGUCAGGGGGAGAGCAGGUGACAGUCCUUUGUUCAUCUUAGCUUGAUGCCCGGCUUGGUGGCCAAAGCUGUCUUAUGCCUAGGAUGCAUAA
Molecule: small nucleolar RNA, 144 nt
Organism: Mus caroli (Ryukyu mouse)
Lineage: Eukaryota; Metazoa; Chordata; Mammalia; Rodentia; Muridae
Product: small nucleolar RNA SNORA48
Source: RefSeq, a predicted model, not a curated record